This is an RNA transcript of Sorex fumeus (smoky shrew), 2598 nucleotides long. It is a transcript of the gene named zinc finger protein 426-like, with no coding region annotated. The record is from RefSeq and is a predicted model, not a curated record. The transcript has 7 exons. Lineage: Eukaryota; Metazoa; Chordata; Mammalia; Eulipotyphla; Soricidae.
GAAAGCGGGACUCUGAAAGCCGAUUUUGUCUUGCUGCAGGACGGGGGUGGCCUCCGGGGAGCGGCUGUGCCUCCCCAAGUCCACACUGUGAGCCUGUGGGACUGCGCCAGCUCUAGGGGCUUCUCGCGCUUGUUUUUCUUGUGUUCCCUGAUAUCCAGGAGGUUCCUGAGGAAUAUCUGUCUCCUCACAUCAAGUUGCAAAGUCCUGCCCAGAUACCUGGCUAUCGAGUUCUGAUCCUCGGGAAAAACAGAGGCAGUAGAAGAUGGUGAGAUGCCGUCGAACACAUCAACCCCAGGACACGGUGACCUUCCCCGACGUGACCGUGAUCUUCACCCCAGAGGAGUGGACGUGCUUGGAUGCCUCUCCAAGGAAGCUCUACAAGGAUGUGAUACUGGAGAACUACCAGCACCUGUGGGCCAUUGGGCAUUCUGGGGUGAAGCCUGCAGUGAUAUCCUGGCUGGAAGGAGGAACCCUGAGGCCGGAUCGGAGAGCCAUGCAUGCAGAACUCAAAGCAUGUCUUCAGGAUUUUGGAACUCAGUCACCGAGUAUGAGUGAGCCGGAAAGCAGCCAGCCCGAGUGGAAUGUCUCUGACCAUUAACACUGUGCAAAAGUUUCGAGUGUGCAUUUGUGCCCUCAGCCACACAGGAUUGCCAAGGCAAGCAGGAUAGCCUCUGAGGGUGAUCAGAAUGGAGAGAGCAACCUCACUCUGAAUAAUCCCUCCCCGGGGAAAAGUUUCACACAGUCUGUUGUUCUGAGUCUAUGGACACAAACCCCAACAUUGGGGCAGACCCUUUAAUGUGGGAGAGGAGCACUGUUUACAGUGAGUCCUCCACACCGAAAGGCCCACAAGCAAAGUCACCAUGGGUUCACCCUGUCCAAGAGUAAGAAAUGUGGGGGAGCUUCCCCGUGUUCCCAGGACCGUGAUGUUCCCUUAGAAACCCACAGUGUACAGAAUCCCCAAAAGUGUCAUCAGCAAGGUCGUGGUUUGAAUCCGGCAUCACCCCAAUGUGAUGACAUGAACAUCCACAAAGGAGGGAAACCACAUACAUGUAAAGACUGUGCGAAGGCCUUCACUCGACCCUCAAACCUCUUAAAACAUUGUAGAAUCCAUAUUGGAAAGAAAGCGUAUGUGUGUGAGCAAUGUGGGAAGGUCUUUGGUUAUUACUCACACCUUUCUAGACACAGGAAAAUUCAUACUGGAGAGAAACCUCAUAAAUAUAAGACACGCGGAAAGGCCUUCACUCGAUCGUCAACCCUUUCUGGGCAUAUGAAAACUCAUACUGAAGAGAUGCCUUAUAUUUGUAAGGAAUGUGGGAAGGCCUUUAGUUAUUCCUCCUUUAGUUAUUCACGAUGGAGUGAAGCCUUAUGGAUGUAAGGUAUGUGGAAAGGCCUUUGUUUAUUCCUCAAGACUUACCUGUCAUAUGAGAAUUCACACUGGAGAGAGACCAUAUGUUUGUAAUGAAUGUGGGAAGGCCUUUGUUGUAUCCUCAGGUCUUACUUGACAUAUGAGAAUUCACAAUGGAGAGAAGCCUUAUGGAUGUAAGGUAUGUGGAAAGGCCUUUGUGGAAUCCGCAACCGUUAUUCGGCAUAUGCGAAAGCACACUGGAGUUUGUAAGGAGUGUGGGAAGGCCUUUGUUUCUGCCUCAACCCUUACUGGUCAUGUGAGAAUUCACAAGAGAGAGACCAUUUGUUUGUAAGGAACGUGGGAGGGCCUUCCAUCAGGCCUCCGGCCUAUAUGUACAUAGGGCAGUUCACGCUGGUGUGAAAUCUUAUAUAUGUCAAGAAUGUGGGAAGGCCUUUGUGUUUCAUUCUGGUCUUAGGAAACAUCGUAAAAUUCAUAUUAAAUAACUCAAUGCCAUAAUAACAAUUUUUUAAUGUCAAAACAGGCCCCUUUGGAAAAGUCUGUUUUCUUUGUACCAUGGGAUGCUGUGCUACAAAAGUGAAGCCAGGGAGGUAAUAAUCCUGUCUAUGUGUAACAAACUUUCUGUGAUGUCAGUCUGUAAGGGAAAGUCUAUGACAGGGUCCCCGAAUUUGAACUUGAUGUGUAUCUUAACAUGUACUUUUCAGAUUUCUCCUGAAAGCUAAGAGGAAUGUGAAUAAAAAUGCAAAAAAAAAUCCCCUUUGCUCAGGGCUGUCAAGGUCAAGAGUGGCCGAGAUUAGUACCAGGAAUUUUGCUGCAUGGCUUGGCGGCCAGCCACACAUGCUAGGGGAAAAGGCAGCCCAGGUAGAGAAGGGAGCACCAAAUAAAGGGUAAUGGGAGGAUCCUCCCAGGAUGGGAGAAGCAUGCUGAAAGUAGACUAUAGACCAAACAUGAUUGCCAUUCAAUGCCUCUUUUGCAAACCACAACACCUAAAAGGAGAGAGAGAACAAAGGGGAAUGCCCAUACGAAGAGGCAGGGUGGGAUGAGGGGGUGGGGGUUGGGAGGGAUACAGGGAUCCGUGGUGGUGGGAAAUGGGCACUGGUUGAGGGAUGGGUAUUUGGUCAUUGUAUACUUGAAACCCAAGCACAAAAAUUUGUAUGUCUACAACUGUACCUCAUGAUGUCUCACUAAUUAAAAUUAAAAAAUAAAAGAAUGAAUAAAAAGGCAAAAUAAAAUCA